UACGGGGGGGGCAAGCGUUGUUCGGAAUUACUGGGCGUAAAGGGUGCGUAGGCGGCUUUCUAAGUUGGAUGUGAAAACUCUGGGCUCAACCCAGAGCCUGCAUCCAAAACUGGAGAGCUUGGGUUCUGGAGGGGAAAGCGGAAUUCCUGGUGUAGCGGUGAAAUGCGUAGAGUAUGACAUAGAACACCGAUAGCGAAGGCAGCUUGCUACACAAUAAUUGACACUGAGGCACGAAAGCGUGGGGAGCAAACAGG
This 254-nucleotide ribosomal RNA is filed under the name uncultured bacterium. RNAcentral describes it as "partial 16S ribosomal RNA". It matches the Rfam family "Bacterial small subunit ribosomal RNA", at positions 524 to 776 of the family's 1533-position model. The record is from RNAcentral.